Molecule: long non-coding RNA, 527 nt
Organism: Raphanus sativus (radish)
Lineage: Eukaryota; Viridiplantae; Streptophyta; Magnoliopsida; Brassicales; Brassicaceae
Exons: 2
Source: RefSeq, a predicted model, not a curated record
AAGACCUAAUGGCUGAGGAGCUUCAGGUUCAAUUGGUGGCCUCAGUUUGUAAAAAAGUUCAGGUUUGAGCAGUGAUUUAUGUAAGUAACUGUAGUUAAACCUGGUUGCAUCUGCAAGGAGGCCUCAAAAUUGUCUGAUCUUCACAAAGGAGAGAACAUUCAAGACAAAAACAAGAGCCACGAGAUGUCCUCAAAGGCUUGAGUCAAGAGCUUUCUUUGUGCCAGGGAUAGGUCAGUAUCAAGCAACGUGCAGACCAAACAUUACGGUCCAGUUGGUGGACUUCACCAUCGUCUAUGCAGGACAUAUCUUGGUGGCAACUAACAAAUAUGUGUUGAUGGUUUUCGUAAUCUGUGAUUGUUGUUGACGCUAAAUAGUAACAGGUUUGAAGGUGUUCCCACCUCAGGAAUUCUCGGAUGAUUGUUUCUCCUUUCUUGUGUAUAUCUGAUUGUUUUAUUACUCGACUCCGUGCAAUGAAAGUAAACAUGAAAUUUGUUUUUCUAUUCAAAUUCUAUGAAAGUAUGUUUAUA